This 380-nucleotide ribosomal RNA is filed under the name Ficophagus sp. 8 NK-2021. Its description in RNAcentral is "partial 28S ribosomal RNA". It matches the Rfam family "Eukaryotic large subunit ribosomal RNA", at positions 544 to 839 of the family's 3401-position model. Lineage: Eukaryota; Metazoa; Nematoda; Chromadorea; Rhabditida; Aphelenchoididae. The record is from RNAcentral.
GGGUGAGGCAUGAGUCUGGCUGCUUUGCAUAGGGCUGGCUGAAUAUGAAGUGGUCGGUGGGGUUUCGACGUUGUCGGGGUGCGGCGCAUGCGUUUCACCUCGCGACUCGUCUCUUCGCUGGGCGUUUCUCGGCCGCCAUUCGGUGUCUAGUCGGUCACCCAUUUGACCCGUCUUGAAACACGGACCAAGGAGUUUAAGGUUUGCGCGAGUCAUUGGGUGCGAAACUCAAAGGCGAAAUGAAAGUGGGACGCUUGGUGUCUGUGACGCGACCCACGCGUGACUCGUUGUGUGUGGAGCAGCGUCGACCCAUGACCAGAACUUGUUCUGUUGUGGAGUCUGAGCGCAAGCUUUGAGACCCGAAAGAUGGUGAACUAUGCCUG